RNAcentral lists this long non-coding RNA (15605 nucleotides) under Populus trichocarpa (black cottonwood). Its description in RNAcentral is "long non-coding RNA (PTRI_LNC001866)". Lineage: Eukaryota; Viridiplantae; Streptophyta; Magnoliopsida; Malpighiales; Salicaceae. The record is from RNAcentral.
ACUCGUAGUAAAAAUUGAUGGAUCUAUUGGUAGCUGGGAACCUGCAACACUUAUUCCAACGAUGUCAAUGCCAUAAAAACUUGAGAAAGCUGGGGAUAUUGGAGUGAAUCCCGCAGUCUGGGAGACUUUUCCACCAAAGUUUAGGUAGCCGGUUGAGCUAGGUGUUGAAGGUAAACAAUAAGAGAAUUGCUUUUGGUAUUUCUCGGCAGUUUGUGAUGGUAAGGAUACCGAAGAGGAGCUUAGUCCUAGCAAACCGGCUGCCUGGCCGAACAAGCCAUUAUUGCUUUGGCCGCACCCGAACAGGAAGUUUGUGAAAACGUCCGAUGAUGAAAUGGUUAGUGUUUCGGUGGCGAAAAAUCCUUGGGAGUAGGAUUGGUCACCAUAAAUAAUUUGGUAGAGGCAUGUCGAGUUUGAGGCAGAGCAACCCCUUUCACCUACAUAUGAACACGACAAAGAAGUAAGCUUCAAAUAUUUUUUUUAUUCCAGACCAUUGUUUUCAAUUAUGAAAUUUACACGUCAAGAAUUUGGCAAAAAAAAAAAAUUACUGGUAGGGAGCAAGUUGCAUGAUGCUGAGGAACACGAAACAUUAUUGUAUGAGGUUGACUUGGUUGGAUCGAACUUUUGUUCCUUUUGCGGAUAGCAGGACCCUAAGCAUGGCUGACAUUGAGUCCAAGUGAUGCCACUGCCGGUGUCGAAUACAAGGGUAAAAUCCUCUUUUGGUGUGCCAAGGCCGACAGUAACCACGUAGUUGCCUGUGCCGAUGGCUAUACCAGACUGGGCUGGUAGUUUUGUCACCAUCUCCUCAAAAAUGCCAUGGCCUGAGAUCUUGGAAAGUCUAGCUUGAAUCGAGUCCACUCGAAGUUGGUCUUGGAGGAGGAAUUCUACAUGUGACCGAUCAUUCAGUACUUGCAUGCACGGACCAUACUUGUGCAGAACUUGCAGAGAUGAAGCCUUGUCGAUCACUGAAACACAUAACCUAUAGUUAGUGCUGCUUAGUGCAUUAAUUAGGUAGAAAAUUAAUUUCAUUUCAACAUCAUAAAAUAUACAUAUGUAUUUGUCACACGAUCACGAACCCUUACUAGAUUGGUCGCAGGAAUCUGAUGCCAACAGAGAAUUGACUUCCAGGGUAUGAACAUAUUUUUUUAUAUGCUCAUUUGCUUCAACUGCAUAACCCUUCUUCAGAGAACACAAAGGGCAUAGAAAAAGAAGAAAAACAUAGAUGAAACCGGUAAAUUUGAUGGAAGAAAUGAGAUUGGCCAUGAAAAACAAUCAAGUUGUAUUGCUGUUAAUUAUGUUCUCAUACAACUCAUCAGUGCUCUGCUUUCUUCCCUAGCUAGCCUUGUAUACUCUACACACACACACACCCACAUAUACAAGCAAGGCAUGGCUCACAAUGAAAGACUUGAAGGAAGGCUGACUUAUCAAAUGCACUGAAGUCAGCGUGCAUUGUCUCCACUCUAAAUCUCUAAUACUACAAGUCUGUCAUCAGCUGCGCGACUUUUCAUCCAAUGAAAAGGAUGCAUCUCAAAUUUAUGUGGUAUAAUUUGACCAGAUUCUAUAUUUUUUUUUUAUGUUAUCCAUGCAAGUAUCACAAACUUUAAGAUUAUUAUAAAUUUAUAUGGUUGUUAAUUUUAGAACAUUAAAAAAUUAGUUGAGAUAUACAUAAAUUGUCCCAUAUAUAUAUAUAUAUAUAUAUAUAUAUAUAUAUGUUUGUUUGUUUGUUUUGGCCUUAUGCCCUGUUGUAACAAAUAAUUAUAAUAAUUAAAAAAAAAUCAAAAGGAUGUAUUACGUUGGCAAUAAUAUGAAAGGGUGCUAUGACUCUAGAAGUAAACUUACAAGCAUAUCCUAUCUCCUUAAGAAGUGCCAUGGAUUUGUGCAUGGUGUGUUGUGUAUAAAAAAAAACACCUUAAAUCUUAAGAAACGGAAAUUGUAUAUAUAAAUAUGAAUUAUAUUAUAAAUCUCGGCUCUCUUUCACUUUUGUUUUGAUUUUCUAAUCCUUUACGUGAAGUUGCGUGGAAGUUUCUCUCUCAAAGUUGCUGGGUCUAUUUGUCAAAUAAUUCAAAUCAAAGUGGACUAGCUUCUUAUAAAAAAUUGAUAGUAUCUUUAAAAUUGAAAACAUUAGAAUAUGUGCCUGUUUACGUCUCUCAUUCAACCUAUUUUUCAUGAAUUUUUUUUAAUUUUAAAUUAAUUUUUUUAAUGUUUUUGAACCGUGUUAAUAUAAAAAAUAAAAUUUUAAAAAUAAAAAAAAUAUUAUUUUAAUAUAUUUUAAAACAAAAAGUAUUUUAAGAAGAUAAAUAAUCACUGUUGCAGAACAAAACAGCCAUUAAAACACUUGAAGACGUUUAUGGCUGACAAUAAUUUGUUUGCAAUGCCUAACAUGACAAGUCAUACCCUGCAAAUACCAAACUGUUGCUGUAUAGAUUUCCCCACCAUGUGGAAUUCUCAAUCAUUCUCAAUCACAGGUCAUACAGGAAUUGAUGGUUUGUUUUUGUGUUAUGAUUUAUUUUUUAAUAUUUUUUUUUAAAUAUUAAAUUGAUAUUUUUAAAAAUUUAUUUAAAUAAUUUUAAUGUGUUAAUAUUGAAAAUAAAAAUAAUUUAAAAUAAAUAUUAUUUUAAUACAUUUUCAAUUAAAAAAUAUUUUUAAAAACCAUACUAUAUCAUAAUAUUAAACAUAUACUUAGAACAUGUUUAUUUUUAUAUUUUAAAAAUAUAAAAAAAUUUAAAUUUAUUUAUUUAUUUAUUUAUUUAAAUUUUUUAUAUCGUUUCAAUGUGUUAAUAUUAAAAAAUAAUUUUAAAAAAUAAAAUAUUUAUUAUUUUAAUAUAUUUUUAAUUAAAAAAAACAUUAAAAAAUACCUCUCAUUAUCGUACCAGCAGGAAUACAUGUCCAGAAAGUGAUAAUUAGAAUCGUUCUCCAGCCAAUCAACGGACAAAACAAGCACUUGAGGGUGGAGCUCAGUGGUCAACCGUGUGACUUGUUCCGCCCUCGUCCCGAGUUUAAUUUUCUAUGUGCAUGCCUGUCACCCCCGCGGUGCUUUACCUGCUCACUAGGCUUGCAGGAUGCUCAGUGGGCCGUGGGGAAUAGUCGUGGUGCGCGCAAGCUGGCCCGGACACCCCACGAUAAUUAAAAAAAAAAAACAAGCAAAUACAUGGAAACUUUAUUUCAAAAAAAUUAAUUUACGUGGAAAAAAAACAGAUGGAGACGAGGAUCGCUUUACUCCUUUCAUUUUAGUUGAUCAAUUCAAAUUCCCUAGUCCAUCAUGUGUUUUAUUAUUGGAUAAAAGUUGAUUACAGGAAAGACUUAAAACUAUUGAAAGUUAGAACACGUACGGCCUUUCUCAAUUGUUGUUGAUCAUACAAGCUCCAUCGCCCUUGCCUCGAGGGCUACUGUAAUUUAAAUUUUCCGUGAGGGAUAUGGAUUAUUGUAACUAGAUUUAUCUAUCUAAAGUUUAUAAAGUCAUAUAACAAGAUAUAUAUAAAAAUAAAUAUAUAUAUAUAUAUAUAUAUAUAUAUAUAUAUAUAUAUAUAUUAUCUCUCUGGUUAGAUUAUUGAAACAAUUUCUUGAUUGUUUAAAAUUAUUGAAUUCCUUAUUUAUUUUUAUUGAUUAGAAAAUAAUUAAUAAUAUUUUUAUUGGUUAUUUUCUUGACAGGCAAAGCCCAGGUAUUCAAACUUAUGGUGAAAACAUUUUUUUUUUCUCAUUAUUGGUCUUGUUAAAUAAUAUUUAUGUAAUCUUAUUUAUUAAGGGUAGAAUAGUACUUUCAGUUUAACCUAUAUAUACUUUAUUUGUAUUUAGGUUAAGACAAUGCAUUCAUAAUAAACAGAUUAUUCAGAAUUGUAGCCUCCUUUUUGUAUUUGAUCUCAAUUAUUUUAACAUGGUAUCAGAACCUGGUUUUAUGAAACGAGGCUUAAUCCCGAACACAACUUCGCGGAUCCAACUCUGCGGUGAGUUGGCUGGGGGUUUGCAGGGGCAGCGCGCCCCUGCCGGGGUGAGAUUUUGUCUUCCGCUUCUGCAAAAUUUAGUAUUUCGUCAGUUUCUGCAAUUAUUUUGGUAUUUCAUCUUCCCUUCAGCUUUUGCAAUUUGGUAUUUCCGUUCAGUUUCUGCAAAUUUGUUUUGUGUUUUGGAGUAAUCGUAUAAGUUUGAGAAGAUAUUUGUUUAGUUUCUGCAAUCUCUGUUCAGUUUCUGCAAUUUGGUAUUUUGUUUUCCGCUGCUUUUGCAUUCUGGUUCUCUGUGAUUGUUGAUUAUGGUUACUAAAAGAGAUGAUUCGCUUCAGUCUGUGAGUGUGAGGUUGGAUGGGAAGAACUAUUCGUAUUGGAGCUAUGUAAUGAGAAAUUUUCUUAAGGGUAAGAAGAUGUGGGGGUAUGUUAGUGGAGCUUAUAUGAUACCUAAGAAUAUUGAGGAGGGGGGUGUUGCUUUGAUAGAUACAUGGGAAGCAAAUAAUGCAAAGAUCAUUACUUAGAUCAACAAUUCUGUUGAGCAUUCGAUAGGUACGCAGUUGGCGAAGUAUGAGACAACAAAAGAGGUUUGGGAUCAUCUGCAAAGGUUAUUCACGCAAUCAAAUUUUGCAAAACAGUAUCAGUUAGAGAAUGACAUACGAGCUCUUCACCAGAAGAAUAUGAGUAUUCAGGAGUUCUAUUCUGCCAUGACAGAUCUUUGGGAUCAAUUGGCUCUUACAGAAUCGGCAGAAUUAAAAGCAUGUGGUGCUUAUAUUAAACGUAGAGAGCAGCAACGAUUGAUACAAUUUUUAACAGCACUUCGCAGUGAUUUCGAAGGACUUAGAGGUUCAAUUCUGCAUCGUUCUCCACUACCUUCUGUUGACUCUGUUGUCAGUGAGUUAUUGGCUGAAGAAAUACGUCUUCAGUCUUAUUCUGAAAAGGGAAUUUUUUCUGCUUCAAAUCAAUUUUUUCUGUACUAGCAGUACCUUCUAAGCCAUUCUCUAAUCAUCAGAACAAGCCUUACACAAAGGUUAGCUUCGAUAAGUGCAGUUUUUGUAAGCAGAAAGGUCAUUGGAAGGCUCCACUAAAAUAUUAUUUAAGCCAAAAAUCUCAAAUGAGAAGACGAAACAUGACCUAGACGAGAAUGCCAUAAAUAAAAACUAGAAGAUGAAAGACUCAAACGAAAAGAAGACAAAUCAACAGUAGUAGCAGAAGCGGCAGCAGCAACAACUGAUACUUUUAACUCAUCCAAAAUAUAUAGUCCAUUCUCCAUACGGCCUGUCCCAAUCAGUUUCUGAGAUUGCAGGUCCUGUACACAACAAAAGGAACCAGAAAACAUGACUAAAUAAUCACCAGAAUCACAUAUUUGACCAACAGACGCAAGAUUUAAUUUGAGUUGUGGAAUAAAAUAAAUAUUAGGGAGAGACAAGUGAGGUGUGACAACGGAACCAACACCUGCUAAGGGCAUAGGAAUGCCAUCAGCAGUCAUGAUUCUGCUCUUUUUAUUAAGUGCACUGAUGCAAGUCGUAUCAUUCUGUCUCUAUAUGUUGAUGACAUGAUUAUUACUGGUGAUGAUAUUGACGGUAUUUCAGUUUUGAAGACAGAGUUGGCUAGACGAUUUGAAAUGAAGGAUUUGGGUUAUCUUCGAUAUUUCCUGCGUAUUGAGGUAGCAUACUCACCUAGAGGUUACCUUCUUUCUCAGUCGAAAUAUGUUGCAGGUAUUCUUGAGCGGGCUAGACUUACUGAUAACAAGACUGUAGAUACUCCUAUUGAGGUCAACGCGAGGUACUCUUCUUCUGAUGGUUUACCUUUGAUAGAUCCUACUUUAUACCGGACUAUUGUUGGGAAUUUGGUAUAUCUCACCAUUACUCGUCCAGAUAUUGCAUAUGUUGUUCAUGUUGUUAGUCAGUUUGUUGCUUCUCCUACUACUGUUCACUGGGCAGCUGUUCUUCGUAUUUUGCGAUAUCUUCGGGGUGCAGUUUUUCAGAGUCUGUUACUUUCAUCCACCUCUUCCUUGGAGUUGCGUGCAUACUCUGAUGCUGAUCAUGGUAGUGAUCCUACAGAUCGCAAGUCUGUUACCGGGUUCUAUAUCUUUUUAGGUGAUUCUCUUAUUUCUUGGAAGAGCAAGAAACAAUUUAUUGUUUCUCAAUCAUCCACUGAAGCAGAAUAUCGUGCCAUGGCAUCUACUACCAAAGAGAUUGUUUGGUUACGUUGGUUACUUGCUGAUAUGGGAAUUUUCUUUUCUCAUCCUACUCCUAUGUAUUGUGACAACCAGAGUUCUAUUCAGAUUGCUCAUAACUCGGUUUUUCAUUAGCGCACUAAGCACAUUGAGAUCGAUUGUCAUCUUACUCAUCAUCAUCUCAAACAUGGCACCAUUACUUUGCCUUUUGUUCCUUCUUCCUUGCAGAUUUCUUUACCAAGGCACAUUCCAUCUCUCGUUUUCGUUUUCUGGUUAGCAAACUCUCGAUGCUUGUAGCUGCCGUAUCGUGAGUUUGAGGGGAGAUGUUAAAUAAUAUUUAUGUAGUCUUAUUUAUUAAGGGUAGAAUAGUACUUUCAAUUUAACCUAUAUAUACUUUUUUUGUAUUUAGGUUAAGACAAUGCAUUCAUAAUAAACAGAUUAUUCAGAAUCGUAGUCUUCUUUUUGUAUUUGAUCUCAAUUAUUUUAACAGGUCUUACCAUGAACCCAAAAUAUUUAGAUUUAUAUUGAGGUUCAAUUUAGAAACGAUCCAAUCCAAUAGUAUCUGGGGAAGGAAACAUGCGUGGGUUAAAUUUAUUUUGUGUCUUGGUAAUUAUUAUGUUUUAAUUUUUGAUCAAUUUUAACAUUUAUGAAUUAGGAGCAUAAAAAAAUAAUUACUUAAAGCAAUGUUUAAAAAAAAAAAAAAGACUUUGAGAAAAGAAAACAUUUCUGAAAAAAAAAAACAGAUAGUGUAAGUUAGAAUCUAUUAAUUAAAGUUAAAUUUUAAUUAAAUCAAAGCUUUAACUUAAUUUUAUAAAAAAGAAAUUAUCUGAGUUAAAUGUUAUUAAUUUCUAAUAAAAUACAUUUAUAACUUUGAUAUAAAUCAAAUAAAAUAAAUCAAUUUACAAAAAUCAUACCAAAUAUGAAUUAAAUCUCUCACCUUCAGGCUUGAAGCAAGAUAUCCACACCUGCUUGAGCAAUAUUUACCUAGACAAACCCUUUAAAGGGUUCAGUUAUAUUAAUUGAUUAAUCAAUACUCUAAGACGCAUGGGAAAGCAUCAACAUGUUUUUUUUUAUGGUUUUACAUGUCUUUUUUUUUCUUUUUUUUCUCAAAAUUAACUUCUUCUUCUUCUUUUUUUUGUUCUUUUUUUUUGUUUUUGUAUUUUUUAAAAUUAUUUUUGUCAAUUUUUUUAAUAUUAAACUGGUUGAGAAUUUAGCCAUGUAGUUUUUUUCUUUAAAACAUUAUAGAUUGUUAUAAUAUAUCUCUACAUAGUUUUCUUCUUUUUAUUAUGAUUUUUUUCUUUUUUUUUUCUAAAAUGAUCUUUGUCGAUUUUAUCUUUUUCAUAUUGAGCUGCUUGAGAAUUUAACUUCAUAGUUUUUUAAAAAAACAAUACCGUGGAUUGCUAUAGUAUUUCCCCCCGUGGUUUUUGUUUUGCUGCAGUAUUUCUCCACAUUUUUUUUAUUUUUUUAUUUUUUGUUUUUUGUUUUUUUCCAAAGUUGUCUUUUUUUUUUUUUCAUUUCAUUUUAUUUUUUUGUGUUUUUUUCAGAAUUGUUUUUGUUGAUUUUAUUUUUUUAAUAUUCAGCUGGUUGAGAAUUUAGUUUUAUAGUUUUUUUCUUUAAAAUAUUAUGGAUUACUACAGUGUUUCUCCACAUAGUUUUUUUAAAUGACUUUUUUUUCUUCUUUUUCAUAAUGGUCUUUGUCGAUUUUAUUUUUUUCAUAUUGAGCUGGUUGAGAAUUUAACUUCGUAUUUUUUUCUUAAAAACACUGUGGAUUGCUACAGUGUUUCCCCAUAAUUUUUGUCUUGCUACAUUGUUUCCCACAUGUUUUUUUAAAAAUUAUAUUUGUCGUAUUUUUUUUUAAUAUUGAGCUAGUUGAGAAUUUAGCUUUUUUUUUCCAAAAUUGUCUUUUUUUUUUAAUUUUUUGUGUUUCUUUUUUCAGAAUUUUUUUUGUCGAAUUUUUUUUUUAUACUGGGCUGGUUGAAAAUUUAGCUUUGUAGUUUUUUUCUUUAAAACACCGUUGAUUGCUACAGUGUUUCUCCACAUGAUUUUUUUUGUUAUGAUUUUUUUUAAAAAUUGUCUUUAUCGAUUUUAUUGUUUUUAAUAUUGAGCUGGUGGAGAAUUACAAUAGUAGAUUUUCUCAUGAAACAUUAUAGAUUACUAGAGUGUUUCCUUGUACGGUUUUUUUUCCUUUCAUUUUUUUUGUUAUGAUUUUUUUAAAAAUUAUCUGUCGAUUUUAUUUUUUUAAUAUUGAGCUGGCCACAUGUUUUUUUUUGCUUUUUUUUUCCAAAAUUGUCUUUUUCUUUUUUUUUGUGUUUUUUUUUCAGAAUUGUCUUUGUCGAAUUUAUUUUUUUAUACCGAGCUGGUUGAAAAUUCAGCUUUGUAAUUUUUUUCUUUAAAACAUCAUUGAUUGAUACAGCGUUUCUCCACAUGAUUUUUUUUUGUUAUGAUUUUUUUAAAAAUUGUCUUUAUCGAUUUUAUUGUUUUUAAUAUUGAGCUGGUUGAGAAUUACAACUGUAGAUUUCUUUAUGAAAUACUAUAGAUUGCUGCAGUGUUUCCCUGCAUGGUUUUUUUUUCCUUUCGUUUUUGUUGUUAUAAUUUUUUCCAAUAUUAUGUUUGUCGAUUUUAUUUUUUUAAUAUUGAGCUGGCCAUAUGUUUUUUUUCCAUUUUUUUUCCAAAAUUGUCUUCUUCUUUUUUUCAUUUUUUUUGUGUUUUUUUCUUCAGAAUUGUCAUUAUCGAAUUUGUUUUUUUUAUACUGAGCUGGUUGAAAAUUUAACUUUGUAAUAUUUUUUUUAAAACACCGUUGAUUGCUACAGUUUUUCUCCACAUGAUUUUUUUUUUGUUAUGAUUUUUUUUCAAAAUUGUCUUUAUCGAUUUUAUUGUUUUUAAUAUUGAGUUGGUUGAGAAUUACAACUGUAGAUUUCCUCAUGAAACACUAUAGAUUGUUGCAGUGUUUCAUUACAUGGUUUUUUUUCCUUUCGUUUUUUUUUGUUAUGAUUUUUUCAAAAUUAUCUUUGUCGAUUUUAUUUUUUUAAUAUUAAGUUGGUUGAGAAUUUAACUUCGUAGUUUUUCUUGAAAACAUUGUGGAUUGCAAUAGUUUUUCUCCAUAUAAUUUUCUUUUUUAUUUUUUUAUGAUUUUUUCUACAAACUCACGACAACGCACAAGAAUGCCACAAGCCCACAGUAUCGCGCAGACAUGACAUCUAGUUUGUAUCUAGGCCUUAAAUGAAUUUUGGUCCAGUUGGAUUAUUACGCAAAUUAGCACUUAAAUGGUUGGAGCAUUCAUAUUUAUAUUUUUUAGCUAAAUUUUAAAUAAAAUAGUUGAAAUUUAUUUUAGCUAAUUCUUUUUAAAAAAUAUUAUCAUAAUCAUGUUUUCUAAAAUAAAGAAUCACAAAUAUCUUAUUUUUAUUUUAUUAUCACAUUCAAUCUUGUCAUGACAACAUGCAACAAUGCAAAAAUACAACUAUUUUAAAAAAGACAACUUCCAAAGUGAAAGUGAAAUGAUGGAUGCAUGGAGUUUUAGCAGUAUGAAAGCACCAUGCCAAUGCUGCCUAGCAUUUGUAGAUACUUCAGCAUUAAACUUAGCCAAAUAUUAUACAAAAAAUAAAAAAUUUAAAGAAAUACUAGAGUGGUUUGGAUAAUAAUUGUAAAAGUGGGGAAAUUAUAAAUAGAACACAGUACCCAUGUAAGUGCAGCCUCAAAAAUGGUUCCAAAUUUCCAGGACAUUGAGAGGAGGACCAUCCUUUUCCCUCCACUUGUCAUUUUUUAUUGUAGCGAUUAUUUUUUGAAGUGUUUUUCACUCGGAAAUAUAUUAAAAUAAUAUUUUUUAUUUUUAAAAAUUUAUUUUUUAUAUUAAAAUAAUCUAACAAUAUAAAAAUUCAGAUUUUUAUAAAACGCUGUUUAUAUCGCGUUCCCAAAAGGUAAGUAAAUAAGAAAGAAUUCUAGAAAAAAUAAUGUAGAAUAAUAAAAAUCAAUCAUUAUUUGCUGGUUAGAAGUGUUAUUCCUUGAAAACCAUUCCCAAAAGUCUUUGCCCUACAUGCUAAAGUCCAUACCAAAGCUUCCAAUUUUAUAGAAUUGAAAAUGCCAAUUUUCCAAUUAUUUUAACUCGUUAAUUAAAGUUAUACAAUGUCUAUCAAUAAAUUUUCAAUCCCAAAUCAUAGAAUCCUAGAACACAAGGUAAAAAUAAAAAAAAAAUGUUAAAAUCAACAUCGAAAAAACUAGCUCCUAACAAUUUUGCACCUUUAAAAUUGGCUUGUCUUGGUAUGGAUUGAAACAGACGAAAAAAAAUAAAAACUCAAUCAUUCCAUUACAGAGAAAUUAACCAAAAACAAAUAAAAAGAGAAGAAAUCCAACUAAAUCAUAAAUUAUCUUAAAAUUAACAACUGGGUUUUGUUAUUUAUAUUCAUAUUUUAGAAUAACAAUCAUUAUAGGAAAAAAAAGACGGAUAUUUUUCAACAAAUUUAGGAUCUAUUUAAUACUGCUAUGCAUAUACAUAAAACAAUGCUUUUAGAAACCUUCUAGGUGGUAGCACAGUGGUAAGAACUUGGGAUCAAGAGGUUUGCUCCCUCUGUGGUCUCACGUUCGAGCCUUGUGGUUGCUCAUAUGAUGGUCACUGGAGACUUACAUGGUCGUUAACUUCAGGGCCCGUGGGAUUAGUCGAGGUGCGCGCAAGUUGGCCUGGACACCCACGUUAAACUAAAAAAAACAAUGCUUUUAGAUUUUCUUUAUUUUUUUGUGAAAAAAAGAAGAGCUACAUAUAUAUGGCUUGUACAAAGUCAAGGAUUACGCGUGUAAGAGUAGAGAUUGUUAAAACACUUCAAUUACACAAAAAUAAAUACAAACAUGAAAGAGAGGAGGUUAGAAUUCUCCUCAAUUGAUUUAUCUUCAAGUUUUUUUUUAACCUAAAUACAAAGAGCUUAUAUAUAGGUUAAGUUAAAAAUAUUAUUCUAUCCUUAAUAAAUAAAACAAGAUAAAUAUCUUAUUUAACAUCUCCCCUCAAACUCACGAUGCGACAGCUAUAAGUAUCGAGAGUUUGCCAACUAGAAAACAAAAAUGAGAAAUGGAAUGCGACUUGGUAAAGAAAUCUGCAAUCUGCAAGGAAGAAGAAACAAAAGGCAAAGUAAUGGUGUCAUGCUUGAGAUGAUGACGAGUAAGAUGACAAUCAAUCUCAAUAUGUUUAGUUCGUUCAUGAAAAACUGAGUUGUGAGCAAUCUGAAUAAAACUCUGGUUGUCACAAUACAUAGGAGUAGGAUGAGAAAGUGAAACUCCAAUAUCCGCGUGUAACCAACGUAACCAAAUAACCUCUUUGGUAGUAGAUGUCAUAACACGAUAUUCUGCUUCGGUUGAGGAUUGAGAAACAAUAGAUUAUUUCUCGCUCUUUUAAAAGAUAAGAGAAUCACCUAAAAAGAUACAAAAACCAGUAACCGAUUUGCGAUUUGUGGGAUCAUUUUCAUGAUCAGCUACAGAGUAUGCACGUAGCUCCAAGGAAGAGGUGGAUGAAAGUAAGAGACUCUGAAAGAUUGUACCCUAAAGAUAUCAUAAAAUACGAAUAACAGCUGCCUAGUGAACAGUAGUAAGAGAAGCAACAAACUGACUAACAACAUAUGUAAUAUUUGGACAAGUAAUUGUGAGAUAUACCAAGCUCCCAACAAUAAUACGAUAUAAAAUAGGAUCUGUCAAAGGCAAACCAUCAGAAGAAGAAUACCUAGCGUUAACUUUAAUGGUCGAACAUGGGAGAGGGUAUCUGAGGUACUAGGAACCUGUGAUGAUAUAUUAUCAGAAUUCUUAAAAAAGGAAUCUAUACAGAUAAUAACAGGUCUAGUCAAGUUAUGAGUAGUGAAUGGAAUAGAAAAGAAAGGUAUAUGCUCAAGAAUGACAGCAUGACGAGACACAUAAAGUUUAUGAGUUAUUGAAUCAAAAUAACGAUAUCCCUUUUUACCUUUACCAUAACCUAGAAAGACACAAAUAGCAGAACGAUAGGACAACUUACUACGUUUUGUAUGAGAACAAAGAACAAAACAAGUACAACCAAAAACUCUAAAAGAGGAAUAAUUAGGGACAUGCUCUAAAUCUUUUCAAAAGGAGACAAACCUGAACUAUGAGAAGAUGAGAUUGUAUUAAUCAAACUUACAGCAGUAAGGAUAGCUUCUUCCCAAAAACUCACUAGGAACAGGAGCAAACAACAAGAGAGAACGAGUAGUUUCAACUAUGUGCCUAUGUUUUCUUUCAACAACACCAUUUUGCUCAGGAAUAUCUGUACAUGAAGUUUGGUGAAUGAUUUUAUCUAAGGCAAGCAACUGACAAAAUUUAUUAGAAGUGUAUUCCCCACCCAAAUCACACUUAAAGUAUUUUAUUACAACAGAAUGUUGAGUUUUCACAAGAGCUCAAAAGGCUGUAUAUAUAUCAUAGAAUUCAGAACGUUGUUUCAUUAAAUAAACCCAAUAAUAAUGAGUAUGAUCAUCAAUAAAUAAAACAUAAUAUCGAGACCCUCCUUUUAUGGUAAUAGAAGAAUGUCUCAAAUACAUCAGAAUGAAUCAAAUCAAAAGGUGAAGAAGAAAUAGAAAUACUUCGAUUAAAAGGUAAAGCGAAAAAUUUUGUCAGUUUACAUUGACCACAAUCAGAAAUAUCACAAGUUUUCAAAUUUUCUAAAGCUCGUGUUUUUUCUUCGUCCAACAAUUAGCUCCAUUGUGGGCGACAAGUCUGCGCCAAUGAUAGCUUUUCUAGUUUCAUUAUUCACCUUAAAUGGUAUUUACUAAACCUUACCUUGCACCACUAAAGUGUACACACACACACACACACACACACACACACACACACCCCUCUCUAGUGUUGCUAUGACUGAACAAACAAAUUUUAACUAUCUAAUGUCUAAGCUCUGGUAUCCAAUAAAAUGAAAGCAUUACUAAUGUUUGAAAUUGUGGGUUCGAAAUAAAUAGAAUAAUUUUGAGUGAAAUGAUAGUUUAAAGCUACAAAUCAUGAACCAAAGAAAAAGGUAAAUAUAUAAUCUAAUAAAUUUUAGUGAAAGAAAAAACACAUUUAUCUAUUAAGCCAAGUGUGACAAGUGCACCAUUAGCAUCCCAUUUUAUGAAUGUAGAUGGAGGGAGUCUUGUACUUUUUGUUCAUUACUUGAUCUCUUUUGUUGUAAUCUGAAUUUUUACUUUUAUUUUUGUAUAUGUUUUCAAAAAAUAGAAAACAUUCAAAAAAUAUAUUUUCAGUAAUUUAGUUGAUUUUAAUAAUUUUAUUAUUUUCUUUUUUUAUUUAAUAUUUGUGUGUAAAAAAUCUUGAAAACCAAUAAAAAAAUGCAAAAAUAGCUGGGGUUUGAAAUUGGACCACGAAGUGAGCAUCAUAGAUGAACAAAUUGAGUUUGAGAAUUUUGAAGCCAUGAUCGAGGUUUCAAUUGGAGAGAAAAUUUAGAAAAAGAUUUAAUUUGACUAAGAUUAAAAGAAACUUGAAACUCAAGGAUGAUUCUAAAAUAAAUAAAAAAGUUAGAAGCCAAUUAAAGGCUCAGUUGAAAUAGUAAUUUGAAUUUAGGAGUUAGAUUUGUUAAAAUUGCAUAACUUGAGGAAUUAAGAAUGAAUUUACAAUAAGUAGUUAAAUAUGGAGGUCUAAAUUGAUUCAAUUAGAGACACAAUCGAAGAAAAAAAAUGAGAUUAAAGGAUUUUAGAAAACCAAAGACUAAUUGGAAAGAUCAAUUAAUUCAAUUUAGGGUUUAAAUUGAAAGAAAUUUCAAAAUUAAACAUCUUAAUGGAAACAUCUUAAAGCCAAGGACUAUAAUGGAAAGAAAGAAAUAUUUUGAGGACCAAUUAAAUCUAUUUACAUAACUUUAUUUCGAUCCUAUUUGUUUUAAUCCAAUCAAUUCAGUUCAAUUUAUUUCAAUUGAGUCCAAUUGAACUGAUUUAAUUCAAUUCAAUCCCAAAUUAACUCCUUGCAAUUCAAUUAUCUUUAAUUGAUUAAAUUUAGUUCAAAUUAAUCAAUUAAUUAAACCAUAUUUUCAGUAAUCAAUUUCAAAAUCUUUUGAUCCUUAAAACUCAAUUUCAAUCUCACAAUUAUAGCCAAAUUAUCCCAACAACUAAACCUAGAAUCACAAUCCCUUAAUUUUAGCUUUUCAAAAUCCUAAACAUUCACCAAAAUCCCAGCUUAAAAAAUCAUUUUUAUUACAACCUAAAUUAUUUUCAAUUAAAAUUAUUUUACAUGAUUUAGCAUUGUAAAAAAAAAAAUUGUUCCUGCAAGCAUUUUUGGGCUUGAUAACAAGUUUAUCAAGCCCAUUAAAAGGCUAAAUAAAUUGAUUUAUUGAGGCUCAUAUAAAAAAAAAUAAAAACACAAACGUUUACUUUAAAUAAAAACAAAUGAAUAAAUAAAUACUCACUUAGAAGCCUAAAAAAAUUUCAUAAAUAGAAAAAAAAAGGCUAAUGUAACGAGUAACAGUAACAGUGGCUCCUCUUGGAAAGUAGAAGAGUAAGAUUGAAAAAUUCUAAACUAUAAGGGUAUAAGUGUAACAUUUAUAAAUAAAUAAAAAGAGAAGCAAACAUCCUGUCGUUGCCGCCCAUAAAACGAUUGGUAAACUAUGUUAAAAAUGACCCAAAACGGUGCAUGUUCAUCCAAAUAAACAAAGAAGGUAGAAUUAUUCUUAUACAAUUUUAAAAGCCAAGUGUUAAGAACACUAAAAAUAUAAAAAAAGAUGAAGUGUCAAGCGAUCCUCGCAGAAGCAUUAAAUUCACCUCGGUAUCCAUAAACUGGAAAAUUUUACUAGCACUUUAUUAAUUUUGGCUCCAGGAUCAGGAGCUCAGACAUGGAAUUUGAUUUUACGACAAAACCCCACAAAAUGGUGCUAUAUAUUUUAAGCCAACUUGAUAUUCAAUAUUUUCUCGUUUUAGCUGCAACCACCAGCUGCAAAACCAACCAUUCCUUUAGCACCAUCAUAGACAACCUCGUACGUCUUUUGCUGAUGGUUUCCGAAAAUCCCAAUUUUACUAUCAUCCUUAUUUGCUGCAAAUGCCAGGCAGACCAUCUUGAGACCGUUCACCAGGUACAGGAUCCCCGAUGCAUUAAUAUCCACUUCAACCCCACCUUUGAAGGACACACUGACCUUAGGAAAUGAAACUGUUGUAUAAUUACUAAAAUCAUAGCAUGUGUCAAGCAGUUCAUCCCCGUUUGUCUUGGGAUAAUUCGACAUUUUUUCGUCGAAUGCUUCCUUGAGUGCCUUGUAUGCUGUAGGAGGCAGCCUAGUGAUGACCGUACCGGAGUCGAUGAUGGCUCCGCUCUUAGUAAAAAUUGAUGGAUCUAUUGGUAGCUGGGAACCUCCAACACUUAUUCCAACGAUGUCAAUGCCAUAAAAACUUGAGAAAGCUGGGGAUAUUGGAGUGAAUCCCGCAGUCUGAGAGACUUUUCCACCAAAGUUUAGGUAGCCGGUUGAGCUAGGUGAUGAAGGUAAACAAUAAGAGAAUUGCUUUUGGUAUUUCUCGGCAGUUUGUGAUGGUAAGGAUACCGAAGAGGAGCUUAGUCCU